GGGCGCAGGAAAUUUGAGAGGAGCUGUCCUUAGUACGAGAGGACCGGGAUGGACGCACCGCUGGUGUACCAGUUGUUCUGCCAAGGGCAUCGCUGGGUAGCUAUGUGCGGACGGGAUAAGUGCUGAAGCAUCUAAGCAUGAAGCCCCCUCAAGAUGAGAUUUCCCAUUCCUAUAAGGAAGUAAGAUCCCUGAAAGAUGAUCAGGUUGAUAGGUCUGAGGUGGAAGUGUGGCGACACAUGGAGCUGACAGAUA
Molecule: ribosomal RNA, 252 nt
Filed under: Bacillus licheniformis
Lineage: Bacteria; Bacillati; Bacillota; Bacilli; Caryophanales; Bacillaceae
Description: partial 23S ribosomal RNA
Rfam family: Bacterial large subunit ribosomal RNA
Source: RNAcentral